UACGUAGGCAGCGAGCGUUGUUCGGAGUUACUGGGCGUAAAGGGUGCGUAGGCGGUUUUCCAAGUCUGGUGUGAAAUCUCCCGGCUCAACUGGGAGGGUGCGCUAGAAACUGGGAGGCUGGAGUGCGGGAGAGGUAGGCGGAAUUCCUGGUGUAGCGGUGAAAUGCGUAGAUAUCUGGAGGAACACCGGUGGCGAAGGCGGCAUCCUGGACCAACACUGACGCUGAUGAGCGAAAGCCAGGGGAGCAAACGGG
RNAcentral lists this ribosomal RNA (253 nucleotides) under uncultured bacterium. Its description in RNAcentral is "partial 16S ribosomal RNA". It matches the Rfam family "Bacterial small subunit ribosomal RNA", at positions 524 to 776 of the family's 1533-position model. The record is from RNAcentral.